RNAcentral lists this ribosomal RNA (301 nucleotides) under uncultured bacterium. RNAcentral describes it as "partial 16S ribosomal RNA". It matches the Rfam family "Bacterial small subunit ribosomal RNA", at positions 509 to 807 of the family's 1533-position model. The record is from RNAcentral.
CAGCAGCCACGGUAAAACGAAGGGUGCAAGCGUUAAUCGGAAUUACUGGGCGUAAAGCGUGCGUAGGCGGUUUGUUAAGUCUGCUGUGAAAUCCCCGGGCUCAACCUGGGAAUGGCAGUGGAUACUGGCAAGCUAGAGUGUGUCAGAGGAUGGCGGAAUUCCCGGUGUAGCGGUGAAAUGCGUAGAGAUCGGGAGGAACAUCAGUGGCGAAGGCGGCCAUCUGGGACAACAUUGACGCUGAGGCACGAAAGCGUGGGGAGCAAACAGGAUUAGAUACCCCAGUAGUCCCUGUCUCUUAUAC